CUUCCAGUAGCACCUUAGAGACCAACUAAGUUUGUUAUUGGUAUGAGCUUUCGUGUAUCUGAAGAAGUGUGCAUGCACAUGUAAGCUCAUACCAAUAACAAACUUAGUUGGUCUCUAAGGUGCUACUGGAAG
Molecule: non-coding RNA, 132 nt
Organism: Podarcis lilfordi (Lilford's wall lizard)
Lineage: Eukaryota; Metazoa; Chordata; Lepidosauria; Squamata; Lacertidae
Source: the annotation of a GenBank genome assembly